AGAUCAUGUUGAGAGCAACUUCUAAGCAAUCCCUUAUAUCUCUCACAUGCUUCAUACAAUGAUUCCUCAACCUCUUGUUGAAAGUUAGCUAUCUUCUUUUUGAGCUU
This is a small nucleolar RNA of Lactuca sativa (garden lettuce), 107 nucleotides long. The record is from RefSeq and is a predicted model, not a curated record. NCBI's taxonomy places the organism in Eukaryota, Viridiplantae, Streptophyta, Magnoliopsida, Asterales, Asteraceae.